Molecule: small RNA, 83 nt
Filed under: Marmota monax (woodchuck)
Lineage: Eukaryota; Metazoa; Chordata; Mammalia; Rodentia; Sciuridae
Source: RNAcentral
GCCAGGUGUGGUGGUGCAUGCCUGUAAUCCCAGCAGCUCAGGAGGCUGAAGCAGGAGGAUGGAGAGUUCAAAGCCAGCCUCAG